GCCCAGUGGGCUCAGGUGGUGGAGCAUAAGACUUUUGAUCCUGGGGUUGUGGGGUUGAGCCCUAUACUGGGUG
This 73-nucleotide transfer RNA is filed under the name Felis catus (domestic cat). It matches the Rfam family "tRNA". From Rfam's summary of the family: Transfer RNA (tRNA) molecules are approximately 80 nucleotides in length. Their secondary structure includes four short double-helical elements and three loops (D, anti-codon, and T loops). Further hydrogen bonds mediate the characteristic L-shaped molecular structure. tRNAs have two regions of fundamental functional importance: the anti-codon, which is responsible for specific mRNA codon recognition, and the 3' end, to which the tRNAs corresponding amino acid is attached (by aminoacyl-tRNA synthetases). tRNAs cope with the degeneracy of the genetic code in two manners: having more than one tRNA (with a specific anti-codon) for a particular amino acid; and 'wobble' base-pairing, i.e. permitting non-standard base-pairing at the 3rd anti-codon position. Lineage: Eukaryota; Metazoa; Chordata; Mammalia; Carnivora; Felidae. The record is from Rfam by way of RNAcentral. RNAcentral also lists the same sequence under 2 other names.